ACGGACGUAGCUCAAUGGUAGAGCACCUGCCUGAUAUGCAGGCGGUUGGAGGUUCGAGUCCUCCCGGCCGUACCA
This 75-nucleotide transfer RNA is filed under the name marine sediment metagenome. RNAcentral's name for it is "tRNA-Ile". It matches the Rfam family "tRNA". Rfam says of the family: Transfer RNA (tRNA) molecules are approximately 80 nucleotides in length. Their secondary structure includes four short double-helical elements and three loops (D, anti-codon, and T loops). The record is from RNAcentral.